ACGACCUUACUUGAACAGGAUCUGUUCUAUAGUAUCUUACCUCUGUGUCCUUCAUUGCUAAGGAGACAGGAUCUUAAAUCUGGUUGAUGAAACAUAAUCAAGUGGCUAGAGCGUGAUUGACAGCCUCACGGUCUUGUCCGUUGGAGCAGUUUGAGGAUCGUUCUCAACCAUUGUUGUUGGCUGGGAUUGGUCACUUGGUUGUCUGACAGUCC
RNAcentral lists this small nucleolar RNA (212 nucleotides) under Cephalotus follicularis. Its description in RNAcentral is "Plant small nucleolar RNA U3". It matches the Rfam family "Plant small nucleolar RNA U3". From Rfam's summary of the family: Small nucleolar RNAs (snoRNAs) are involved in the processing and modification of rRNA in the nucleolus. There are two main classes of snoRNAs: the box C/D class, and the box H/ACA class. U3 snoRNA is a member of the box C/D class. Lineage: Eukaryota; Viridiplantae; Streptophyta; Magnoliopsida; Oxalidales; Cephalotaceae. The record is from Rfam by way of RNAcentral.